Molecule: non-coding RNA, 30 nt
Filed under: Homo sapiens (human)
Lineage: Eukaryota; Metazoa; Chordata; Mammalia; Primates; Hominidae
Source: RNAcentral
UCUGCAGCCAGGUGGACUAUGAGGCUCCAA